Molecule: ribosomal RNA, 449 nt
Filed under: uncultured bacterium
Lineage: Bacteria
Description: bacterial SSU rRNA
Rfam family: Bacterial small subunit ribosomal RNA
Source: RNAcentral
CCCCCAGACUCCUACGGGAGGCAGCAGUGGGGGAUAUUGCACAAUGGAGGAAACUCUGAUGCAGCGACGCCGCGUGUGGGAAGACGGUCCUCUGGAUUGUAGACCCCUGUCCCCAGGGACGAAGAUGACGGUACCUGGGGAGGAAGCUCCGGCUAACUACGUGCCAGCAGCCGCGGUAAUACGUAGGGAGCGAGCGUUGUCCAGAAUUACUGGGUGUAAAGGGAGCGUAGGCGGGACUGCAAGUUGGGUGUCAAAUCUACCGGCUCAACCGGUAGCCGCACUCAAAACUGCAGUUCUUGAGUGAAGUAGAGGCAGGCGGAAUUCCUAGUGUAGCGGUGAAAUGCGUAGAUAUUAGGAGGAACACCAGUGGCGAAGGCGGCCUGCUGGGCUUUUACUGACGCUGAGGCUCGAAAGUGUGGGGAGCAAACAGGAUUAGAUACCCUUGUACU